ACUCGCCUCCAAUGAAUGAUCAACAAAGACUCGAUGGUGCUGGUUCGUGGAGGAGAAGUCCGGUCCAGGGGUGUUUUCCCUGUCUUGGACCGGUGAGGCACUCUGGUCCCCUAAAUAUGAGACGUUCUUGGAGCUGAUGCAACCCAUUUUUAGAGAUUAAUUGUUCAACCCCUCAUGAGGCCAAAAAAGAUGAAAUGGGAUUGCAGACAGAAGAACAAAGAACAAAGAUUAAAAAAGGUGGGAAAGAGAAAAGAAAAAAAAUCACAUGACAAAAUUAUUAAAAGGAAAAGGAAACUUUUUUUUUUG
This 306-nucleotide long non-coding RNA is filed under the name Brassica napus (rape). RNAcentral describes it as "long non-coding RNA (BNAP_LNC019349)". Lineage: Eukaryota; Viridiplantae; Streptophyta; Magnoliopsida; Brassicales; Brassicaceae. The record is from RNAcentral.